This 394-nucleotide ribosomal RNA is filed under the name uncultured bacterium. RNAcentral's name for it is "bacterial SSU rRNA". It matches the Rfam family "Bacterial small subunit ribosomal RNA", at positions 28 to 420 of the family's 1533-position model. The record is from RNAcentral.
GAUUAACGCUAGCGGCAGGCCUAAUACAUGCAAGUUGUACGGGAUUAUCGGUAGCAAUACCGAUAUGAGAGUAGCGCACGGGUGCGUAACACGUAUGCAACCUGCCUUUAACUGGGGAAUAGCUCACCGAAAGGUGAAUUAACACCGCAUAAAAUCACAGAAGGACAUCCUUCAAUGAUUAAAUCUCCGGAGGUUAAAGAUGGGCAUGCGUCCGAUUAGCUAGUUGGCGGGGUAACAGCCCACCAAGGCAACGAUCGGUAGGGGGUCUGAGAGGAUGAUCCCCACACUGGUACUGAGACACGGACCAGACUCCUACGGGAGGCAGCAGUAAGGAAUAUUGGACAAUGGGGGCAACCCUGAUCCAGCCAUGCCGCGUGAAGGAUGAAGGCCCUAU